RNAcentral lists this unclassified non-coding RNA (511 nucleotides) under Hevea brasiliensis (rubber tree). The record is from RNAcentral. Lineage: Eukaryota; Viridiplantae; Streptophyta; Magnoliopsida; Malpighiales; Euphorbiaceae.
AAAAAAAAAAAAAAACAGAAAAAUAAAAAGAAACACCUUUCUAGCAAAUACUGAAAUGUAGAGUCAGCUUGAACACCACAAUAGUCUGUGAUUGCAGCAUCAACACCAUAGAGAGUUGAAAAUCUUCCUCCAAAACUCUGCUCUUGCUCUCAAAUCAGCAGAGGAUCCUCUGUGUUCUCGCUCUCAAAAUUGUCUCUGCUCAAAGAAUUGCAGGAGACCCGUUGCCAGCUUGGAGAACACCAUACAUCACACUCCAAAAGCCUGUGAUAAAUAUCAAAUAUGGAUCCAUUUUCCAUUCCUAACACAAACAUAUAGCAAAUCAUCUCAAAUGAAGAAUAAGAUGGAUAAAAGAAUGACCUGUCAAUGCACUAGACACCCUUUGCAUUUUUGUUCAUCGCUUGUCAUUUCAUUUCAGAAGCGGUAGAAGUUCUUUCUUCAUCCUCUAGUAGAUAGCGGCCUUCACUUUGGAUUUCUUUGCCAUUAACACGAAUAUUUGGGAUGUGAGAAAUGA